RNAcentral lists this ribosomal RNA (2337 nucleotides) under Triticum aestivum (bread wheat). RNAcentral describes it as "partial small subunit ribosomal RNA". The record is from RNAcentral. Lineage: Eukaryota; Viridiplantae; Streptophyta; Magnoliopsida; Poales; Poaceae.
AUGGAUCACCGCGGGCCGCUGUUGCCCGAUGGCCGCCGGCUGGCGGCCGCGCUCCUCCUCCUCCUGGCGGCCUGCCUCUCGUCUGCCCGGGCCGUCACCAGCGAGGAGGCCUCCUACAUCGCACAACGCCAGCUGCUCGCCAUGAGCGAGGCCGGGGUGGGCGAGGACGGCGACCUCCCCGCGGACCUGGAGUCGAGGCCUUGCCUGGAGUUCGACGGCAAGGCCGCCACCGCCAACAUGACCUUCCCGAACGAUCGCCUCCGCCGCGCCUACAUCGGGCUCCAGGCCUGGCGCAAGGCCUUCUACUCCGACCCCAAGAACUUCACCAGCGACUGGGUGGGCGCCGACGUGUGCUCCUACAACGGCGUGGUCUGCGCGCAGGCGCAGGACGACGCCAAGGCCACCGUGGUCGCCGGGAUCGACCUCAACGGCGCCGACAUCGCCGGCUACCUCCCGCCGGAGCUCGGCCUGCUCACCGACCUCGCCUUCUUCCACAUCAACACCAACCGCUUCUGCGGCAUCAUCCCCAAGAGCAUGUCGCGCCUCACCAUCCUCUGGGAGUUCGACGUCAGCAACAACCGCUUCGUCGGCCCCUUCCCCUACGUCUGCCUCGAGAUGCCCACGCUCAAGUACCUCGACAUCCGCUUCAACGAGUUCGAGGGCGAGCUGCCGCCCGCGCUCUUCGACAAGCCCUACGACGCCAUCUUCGUCAACAGCAACCGCUUCGUCGGCCCCAUCCCGGAGACCAUCGGCAACUCCACCGCCUCCGUCGUCGUCUUCGCAAACAACAAGCUCGUCGGAUGCAUCCCCAAGAGCAUCGGCCGCAUGGCCAAGACGCUCGACGAGAUCAUCUUCCUCAACAACACGCUCGAGGGCUGCAUGCCGCUCGAGAUCGGCAUGCUCACCAACACCACCGUCGUCGACGUCAGCGGCAACGGCCUCGUCGGCUCGCUGCCCAAGGAGAUCUCCGGCUGCAGCAAGCUCGAGCAGCUCGACGUCUCCAGGAACGUCCUCACCGGCGUCGUGCACGAGGCCAUCUGCGAGCUCCCCAUGCUCGUCAACUUCAGCUACGCAUCCAACUUCUUCGAGUCCGAGUCGUCGCCGUGCAUGCCCUCCGACAAAUCCGAGGUCAACCUCGACGACGCCAACAACUGCCUCGGCGCGCUCCGCCCCGCACAGAAGACCACGCUCCAGUGCGCGCCCGUGCUCGCGCGCCCCGUCGACUGCAACAAGCACGUGUGUGCCGGGCCGCACCCAACCACGACGCCUUCGCCGGACAGGAAGCAGGCAUCACCGCCGGCGCUGUCCCCGAUAAUUGGGCCAGCAAUGGAGAUCCCGACGCCGGCACCGGCACCGGCACCAGCACCCGAGCCGGCUGUUUUGGGCCCGAUUGUUGGGCCACUUCCACCCAAGGAUGAGUAUGCUGGUGCUCCGCCACCUCCCAGUUCUGGCUGGCUCCCGUUGACCCCUGAGCGCAAGAAGGCACCUCCGCCGGAAGAAUACACGCCUCCGGUGAAGGUGCUUCCGCCACCCGCACCCGAGAAGGUGCUUCCACCACCGACGCCCGUGAAGGUGCUUCCGCCACCCGCACCAGAGAAGAAGGUUCUUCCACCACCAGCGCCGGUUAAGGUGCUUCCGCCACCCGCACCCGAGAAGGUGCUUCCACCACCGACGCCCGUGAAGGAGCUUCCGCCACCCACACCAGAGAAGAAGGUUCUUCCACCACCAGCGCCGGUUAAGGUGCUUCCGCCACCCGCACCAGAGAAGGUGCUUCCACCACCGGUGCCCGUGAAGCCUCCACCGGCUCCGUUGAGCUCACCACCACCAGCGCCAGCUAAGGUACUUCCACCACCCGCACCAGAGAAGGUGCUUCCACCACCGGCACCGGUGAAGCCUCCACCAGUUCCAGUGAGCUCACCACCUCCCCCUGUGAAAUCUCCACCACCACCUGCUCCAGUUAGCUCGCCGCCACCUCCGGUCAAGUCUCCUCCUCCACCGGCACCAGUUAGUUCCCCACCACCAGCACCGGUGAAGCCUCCACCCGCACCGGUGAGCUCACCACCUCCUCCGGUGAAAUCGCCACCACCUCCAGCCCCAGUUAGCUCACCGCCGCCUCUAGUCAAGUCUUCUCCACCACCGGCACCGGUCAACUCACCGCCACCAGCACCAGUGUUGUUGCCUCCUCCAGCAAAAUCCACCCCAGCACCGGUGAAAGAAGAGCCACAGUCACCUCCAGCGGAAUCACUUACACCCCCAAAGUUCGACGAGUUCAUCAUGCCGCCGGUCGUGUCGGCAAAAUACGCGUCACCACCACCACCCCAGUUCCAAGGAUAUUAA